RNAcentral lists this ribosomal RNA (497 nucleotides) under uncultured bacterium. RNAcentral describes it as "partial 16S ribosomal RNA". It matches the Rfam family "Bacterial small subunit ribosomal RNA", at positions 28 to 507 of the family's 1533-position model. The record is from RNAcentral.
GAUGAACGCUGGCGGCGUGCCUAAUACAUGCAAGUCGAGCGAACGGACGAGAAGCUUGCUUCUCUGAUGUUAGCGGCGGACGGGUGAGUAACACGUGGAUAACCUACCUAUAAGACUGGGAUAACUUCGGGAAACCGGAGCUAAUACCGGAUGAUAUUUUGAACCGCAUGGUUCAAAAGUGAAAGACGGUCUUGCUGUCACUUAUAGAUGGAUCCGCGCUGCAUUAGCUAGUUGGUAAGGUAACGGCUUACCAAGGCAACGAUGCAUAGCCGACCUGAGAGGGUGAUCGGCCACACUGGAACUGAGACACGGUCCAUGCUCCUACGGGAGGCAGCAGUAGGGAAUCUGCCGCAAUGGGCGAAAGCCUGACGGAGCAACGCCGCGUGAGUGAUGAAGGUCUUCGGAUCGUAAAACUCUGUUAUUAGGGAAGAACAUAUGUGUAAGUAACUGUGCACAUCUUGACGGUACCUAAUCAGAAAGCCACGGCUAACUACGUG